Molecule: ribosomal RNA, 785 nt
Filed under: Ailoscolex lacteospumosus
Lineage: Eukaryota; Metazoa; Annelida; Clitellata; Crassiclitellata; Ailoscolecidae
Description: partial 16S ribosomal RNA
Rfam family: Bacterial large subunit ribosomal RNA (bases 1-519)
Source: RNAcentral
UCCUGCCCAGUGAAUUUUCAACGGCCGCGGUAUUCUAACCGUGCAAAGGUAGCAUAAUCAUUUGCCCAUUAAUUGUGGGCUAGAAUGAACGGAUCAACGAAAUAAAGACUGUCUCUAUAAAUAAAAUAAAAAUUAAUCUUUAGCUGAAGAGUGCUAAAUAAAAUCGAAGGACAAGAAGACCCUAUAGAGCUUUAUUUAAAUUAAGGUAUCUAUUCCUUUAUUAAAUUCGGUUGGGGCGACCAAGGAUAUAAUAAUCAUCCUUAAACAAAAGAUUUAUUAAUCCAAUAAAGACCCUUAAAUAAGAACAAAAAAACAAGCUACCUUAGGGAUAACAGGCUAAUCCCAUUAAAGAGCCCUUAUCAAUAAUGGGGGUUGGCACCUCGAUGUUGGCUUAGGGACACAAUGUGGCGCAAAAGUCACAUAAAGAUGGUUUGUUCAACCAAUAAAACCCUACAUGAGCUGAGUUCAGACCGGCGUAAGCCAGGUUAGUUUCUAUCCACGAUAAAAUAAUCUAUUUAUAGUACGAAAGGACCUAGAUAUGAGCAAUUUUUGUAAGAGUAAGACUAAAUAUAAAUAAAACUAAUUUAAUUUUAAUAAACACUAUAUAGUGAGUUGGCAGAAUAGUGCCACUGAUUUAGGAUCAGUAAAUGGGUAGACCACUCACUAGUUGCAAUUUAGUUUAUUUAGAACGGUCAACUUGCACUUGAAAAGAAAGGUAACUUAGUAGCGGCUUGACGUUUUGGAAACCUUAGACCUUGAACGUCUUUUAUAGAUGUUCGACUCAU